RNAcentral lists this transfer RNA (72 nucleotides) under Candidatus Iainarchaeum sp. Its description in RNAcentral is "tRNA-His". It matches the Rfam family "tRNA". From Rfam's summary of the family: Transfer RNA (tRNA) molecules are approximately 80 nucleotides in length. Their secondary structure includes four short double-helical elements and three loops (D, anti-codon, and T loops). Lineage: Archaea; Nanobdellati; Candidatus Iainarchaeota; Candidatus Iainarchaeia; Candidatus Iainarchaeales; Candidatus Iainarchaeaceae. The record is from RNAcentral.
GCUGCGAUCGUCCAGUGGUUAGGACUCAAGACUGUGGCUCUUGAAACCCGGGUUCAAUUCCCGGUCGCGGCC